This is a long non-coding RNA of Suricata suricatta (meerkat), 856 nucleotides long. RefSeq lists it as uncharacterized. The transcript has 2 exons. Lineage: Eukaryota; Metazoa; Chordata; Mammalia; Carnivora; Herpestidae. The record is from RefSeq and is a predicted model, not a curated record.
UGUACGUAAGUGCGUGUCCACGUAACUGCUUGCCAGCGUGCCUCCAGGCUUCCGCUCUCCCUCGAGGCGUGCCUCCGUGUGCGUACGCAAGUACGUGGGUACGAGCCUGCGUACGUCCCGCAAAAAUGGGGCGACAAGGUCUGCGGCCGUCACCUGUCAGCGGGUCUUUGGUGCGGGGCCCGGCGAUGACGGGACAGCCCCGACACGGACAACGGGGCUUUCUGUGAUGAGCAGAAGCAGCCCGUGAGUGAGGUGGCUCCCAUCCCGUGGGCCCGCCUGAGUCCCAGUGGUGCCCAGGCCCUGCUGACUAGAAGACAUGUUCUGGUACAUUCGCAGUGCUCUUGGCCUGCACCUAGUGACUUUUUCUUACCCCCACCCCGGGCUCCCCACCAGCCAUGCCCUUGUGCGCGUGAGGAAGCUAAGGCAAGCGGAACAGCCUUUCCUUCUCAAGCCACAAAGCAGGUGCUCUCUGCGCCGUGAGGCAGGAGGGCACCUUUACAGUUGCAUCUCUCUAGGGAUUCCGCCCACACAGCUCAGUUCUCCUUGUGAUUUUGUGGCCCUGAGGAGGACAGGGUUGCCCAAGAAACUGCAUGGCAGACAUUAGGCAAACCUGCAGUCCUGUCCUAUAAGCUAGUAGAAGAAAGAGAAAUGGCCAGAGCACAGGGGAACAUCUGGCCUCCUUGGUAAAUAAGCCACACGGGGUGAACAAGGUGACCCAAUGUCACCUGGCGGGUUGGCAAAGGGUAAGCAGAGUGAUGAUGCUCAGGGCCGAGGAGUGAGUGAGGAAACGGCAUGCUUGGCCCUGACUGCUGGAGGACCCGCAGGCGGGCCUCUGUGGAAGGCCGCUUGCCAACGU